This 194-nucleotide ribosomal RNA is filed under the name uncultured Listeria sp. RNAcentral describes it as "partial 16S ribosomal RNA". It matches the Rfam family "Bacterial small subunit ribosomal RNA", at positions 340 to 525 of the family's 1533-position model. The record is from RNAcentral. Lineage: Bacteria; Bacillati; Bacillota; Bacilli; Caryophanales; Listeriaceae.
UACGGGAGGCAGCACCGUGAAUUCUUCCGCAAUGGACGAAAGUCUGACGGAGCAACGCCGCGUGUAUGAAGAAGGUUUUCGGAUCGUAAAGUACUGUUGUUAGAGAAGAACAAGGAUAAGAGUAACUGCUUGUCCCUUGACGGUAUCUAACCAGAAAGCCACGGCUAACUACGUGCCAGCAGCCGCGGUAAUUA